UAAUAUACAUACACAUGUAAGGAUGUUGAAAAUUUGGUUGUUAUCGUUUCUUAUUUUACUUAUUCUUAAUAGUGUUUUAUCAAAUCCACUGAAGAAAAAGGAAACAGCACUGAGAACGUCACUAAGAAGAGACAAGCGAUGGAGCGACGACAUGUUUGGAAAAGGAUGUAGAUGUACCUUCCACAUACAUUGCCAUAGUGACGAGGGAUGUCGCCAUCACGCCAUCGGUUCACAUGAGAUUUAUAGAUGUGUAUAUUCCUGCUGCGGAACAAGAUGUGUGCAUCAUCACGUUCAUGUCGUUCACAACAGCAAAGAGGUUGGCGCCCCGGUGUAAUUGAGAAAUAAAAGAUACAGAAUUGGCGUUUUAGAAGAUCAUUCAUGGACAUAAAAUGAAAUAAGACUACAUAGUUAGUGUUUUUUUUUUUUUUUUAAUAAAUGAGGGAGAAUUCGA
This is a long non-coding RNA of Mytilus californianus (California mussel), 451 nucleotides long. RefSeq lists it as uncharacterized. The record is from RefSeq and is a predicted model, not a curated record. NCBI's taxonomy places the organism in Eukaryota, Metazoa, Mollusca, Bivalvia, Mytilida, Mytilidae. The transcript has 3 exons.